This is a long non-coding RNA of Engraulis encrasicolus (European anchovy), 267 nucleotides long. RefSeq lists it as uncharacterized. The transcript is spliced from 3 exons. The record is from RefSeq and is a predicted model, not a curated record. NCBI's taxonomy places the organism in Eukaryota, Metazoa, Chordata, Actinopteri, Clupeiformes, Engraulidae.
CUACAGGUGCGCUGAAACUAAACGUUUCUUCCUCGAGUGUAGGGCACUUGUUUUUCGCAUUGACAAUGGAUUUACUUGCGCAAACCUACACGUUGAAACACGUCUCUAAUUGAGUAGCUGAAGAUGGAGGUUCCCCUAGAGGGGGAUGUGCAGGGCAGCCCUGGAAAAGGAUCCAGUCCAGAAGAAGACAAGCAUGGACAUGUGGGUCCCAUGCAGCAUAAGAGGCCAUCCUCUCCAGUACCGAGCUGUGUGUCCAUGAAGAGUGAC